GAUUUGUUUUCAUACAGAUUAGCUGCAGCCAGAUCACAACAGUCCAACCCCCUGUGGGCGAGUUGAAAACAUGCGGAAGUAGCUCCUACUACUGGCUGUAGUCGAUUGCCUCUGG
Sander lucioperca (pikeperch) is the source of this 115-nucleotide long non-coding RNA. RefSeq lists it as uncharacterized. The transcript is spliced from 2 exons. The record is from RefSeq and is a predicted model, not a curated record. Lineage: Eukaryota; Metazoa; Chordata; Actinopteri; Perciformes; Percidae.